GUUGUAGCUCAGAGGUAGAGCGUUUGCCUAUCACGUGUGAGGCCCUGGGUUCAAUCCUCAGCACCACA
RNAcentral lists this transfer RNA (68 nucleotides) under Marmota monax (woodchuck). RNAcentral describes it as "tRNA.Asp". The stretch from base 3 to 63 matches the Rfam family "tRNA", at positions 6 to 65 of the family's 71-position model. Rfam says of the family: Transfer RNA (tRNA) molecules are approximately 80 nucleotides in length. Their secondary structure includes four short double-helical elements and three loops (D, anti-codon, and T loops). The record is from RNAcentral. Lineage: Eukaryota; Metazoa; Chordata; Mammalia; Rodentia; Sciuridae.